CGGUUUAGCGUAACGGCUCCCCUGAAUGUAAUCUUGCUGCCGGUCGUGUGGUUCUACAUAGAC
Molecule: non-coding RNA, 63 nt
Filed under: Lotharella globosa
Lineage: Eukaryota; Cercozoa; Chlorarachniophyceae
Source: RNAcentral